CCCUACGGGACGCAGCAGUGGGGAAUAUUGCACAAUGGGGGGAACCCUGAUGCAGCGACGCCGCGUGAGUGAAGAAGUAUUUCGGUAUGUAAAGCUCUAUCAGCAGGGAAGAUAAUGACGGUACCUGACUAAGAAGCCCCGGCUAACUACGUGCCAGCAGCCGCGGUAAUACGUAGGGGGCAAGCGUUAUCCGGAUUUACUGGGUGUGAAGGGUGCGUAGGUGGCAGGGCAAGUCAGAUGUGAAAGCCCGGG
Molecule: ribosomal RNA, 252 nt
Filed under: uncultured bacterium
Lineage: Bacteria
Description: partial 16S ribosomal RNA
Rfam family: Bacterial small subunit ribosomal RNA
Source: RNAcentral